UACGUAGGGGGCAAGCGUUAUCCGGAUUUACUGGGUGUAAAGGGAGCGUAGACGGCUUGGCAAGCCAGAUGUGAAAGGCUGGGGCUCAACCCCAGGACUGCAUUUGGAACUGUCAUGCUAGAGUGUCGGAGAGGCAGGCGGAAUUCCUAGUGUAGCGGUGAAAUGCGUAGAUAUCAGGAGGAACACCAGUGGCGAAGGCGGCCUGCUGGACGAUGACUGACGUUGAGGCUCGAAAGCGUGGGGAGCAAACAGG
This 253-nucleotide ribosomal RNA is filed under the name uncultured bacterium. RNAcentral's name for it is "partial 16S ribosomal RNA". It matches the Rfam family "Bacterial small subunit ribosomal RNA", at positions 524 to 776 of the family's 1533-position model. The record is from RNAcentral.